This 482-nucleotide ribosomal RNA is filed under the name uncultured bacterium. Its description in RNAcentral is "partial 16S ribosomal RNA". It matches the Rfam family "Bacterial small subunit ribosomal RNA", at positions 28 to 523 of the family's 1533-position model. The record is from RNAcentral.
GACGAACGCUGGCGGCGUGCUUAACACAUGCAAGUCGAACGAUAAAGCCCAGCUUGCUGGGUGGAUUAGUGGCGAACGGGUGAGUAACACGUGGGCAACCUGCCCCAAACUCUGGGAUAACUCCUCGAAAGAGGUGCUAAUACCGGAUACGAACUAGACAGACAUCUGUACUAGUUGGAACGUUUCUCGGUUUGGGAUGGGCCCGCGGCCUAUCAGCUAGUUGGUGAGGUAACGGCUCACCAAGGCUACGAAGGGUAACCGGCCUGAGAGGGCGACCGGUAACACUGGGACUGAGACACGGCCCAGACUCCUACGGGAGGCAGCAGUGGGGAAUAUUGCGCAAUGGGCGAAAGCCUGACGCAGCGACGCCGCGUGAGGGAUGAAGGUCUUCGGAUCGUAAACCUCUUUCAGUAGGGACGAAGCGAAAGUGACGGUACCUAAAGAAGAAGCACCGGCUAACUACGUGCCAGCAGCCGCCGUAA